Lycium barbarum (goji berry) is the source of this 969-nucleotide long non-coding RNA. RefSeq lists it as uncharacterized. The transcript is spliced from 3 exons. NCBI's taxonomy places the organism in Eukaryota, Viridiplantae, Streptophyta, Magnoliopsida, Solanales, Solanaceae. The record is from RefSeq and is a predicted model, not a curated record.
UCCGGAUUUAAUUAUGAUAAGUUAAGGACAAAAAAAUUAUUUCGGGAUACAAAGUCGGGAUUCUUGACCUUCGAUUUUAUUUUGAGAUAUAUGUGGUGCAUGAAUUUAUUGGUAUGGAACAAUUAGGAAAAUUUGGGACCAAAAGUGAUAAAAAUUGGAAGAUAAAAAUUAUCCACAAUUUGCAUGGUUGGCCCACACAAAUGGUGUUCAAUUUUAAUUGGUCCACCACAUUGUGUGGGCCACAAACAAUAAGAGAUAUUAUGGGGACUUAAAAAGAUGACCUUAAUUCAUCUCCUCACCAUUCUAUACUUAGCAAAAAAACAAAAAAACAAAACAAAAGUGGAAGAACCAAGGGGGAGCUCACGGCUAGGAGCAAGAAAACCAACCCCCAUUUCUUUGCCUUCAAAAAUUAAUUUCUUGGUGUUAACCCACUAUAUUGAAGUCCCUAAGUAGCGUGGAAGAGUUGUUUGGGUCAUCUAACCAUUCAUUGUAUCCAAUUGCAAACCCUAGGCUAUUGUAAGGUUGAAGAAGAAAAGAUCGUGGGCAGCCCGAAUCAUAGGUUGGAUUUAGCUUGAGUUUGGAUCGUAUUGGAGAGCGUUUGAGGUACGGACGCACAGCCUGGUGAUCCACCUGUUUAGGACACCCUUUCUGCUAUUCGGAGUGCUCCUCUCUUUCCGGAGCUUAUACUUUUGGUAUAUAUAUUUUUAUUAGUGCAUUUGUAUAUAUUCGUUCAUGGGUACGGCGGGGCCCUGUCCUGUCAUAUGAUUCUGUCGGUCUGUUUAGAGGUCUGUGGAUAUGUUUGUGGGUUAGGGUCUUUCUGUAUGGAUGUAUGUACAUGUCGUUUGGGCGAUCCCAUACGCCGAGGCGGCUGGUCCGCAUAUGUUGUUUGGGCAAUCCUAUACGCCGAGGCGGCCGGUCCGCAUAUGUUUAUAUAUUGCUUGGUUAGCCCUGUGUGGAUUUUGUUGGUAU